This 246-nucleotide long non-coding RNA is filed under the name Gossypium barbadense (sea-island cotton). RNAcentral describes it as "long non-coding RNA (GBAR_LNC015081)". The record is from RNAcentral. Lineage: Eukaryota; Viridiplantae; Streptophyta; Magnoliopsida; Malvales; Malvaceae.
UUUGAUCCUAUCUCUGUUGAAAAUCUCAUAGUAGUUCUCUCCUUUUCUUUUCCUUCUUCACCAUUUGGGCAAACGUGCGAUUGUGUCAUUCGGUAAGUUGGUAAAUGAGUUCUUCUCUAUAUUAUUCAAUGAAUCUCUGUUUGAUAUGAGCCAUAUUCUGAUUAGGCACAAAUCAAGGGGCUAGUAGAUCUCAAUUGACGCUGUGGUUGUAGAAAAAAUCGGGGUUGCUUAAGUGAGGUAAGGUUG